This is an RNA transcript of Amaranthus tricolor (Joseph's coat), 2716 nucleotides long. It is a transcript of the gene named F-box protein SKIP23-like, with no coding region annotated. Lineage: Eukaryota; Viridiplantae; Streptophyta; Magnoliopsida; Caryophyllales; Amaranthaceae. The transcript has 3 exons. The record is from RefSeq and is a predicted model, not a curated record.
GUUAACAACAAAACGGACGAUUAAGUAACAAACCCACGCGCCCACGCCCGAUGAACUCGGCUAGCCAAGGCUGAAAACGGAAAUCAAUUUUCAGAGAAAUAUUGGUUCAAAUUACUUCCAUUUCUCUUCAAAUUUGUUCAGUUUUCUCCCCAUAAUCACUAAUUUGUGCAUCAAUGGCGGAUUGGUCUGAAUUACCCAGAGAACUCCUCGAAGAAAUCCUAACCCAUUUCAAUUCCUCAAUUGAUGCUUCACGAUUUACCUCUGUAUGUUCAUCAUGGCGCCAUUUAUCACCUUCAGAAUUCAAUUUUAAUGGAGAAAAAAACUUCCCUCUUUGUUUCAAUGGCAUCUCUGUCUGUAAGCGAUCAAUCUUGCUUCUAUCUCCUCCCCAAAUCCCCAUUCCUGAUUCACCUCACAAUCCUACUUCAUGGAUUAUCAAAGUUGAAGAAAAAGGACCCAAAAGAUUUCGAAUUUAUUUCCCACUUUCAUGGUCUCAGUUACCUUUACCCUUUAAUUUUCCUAGAGUAAUGGAUCUUUCUAAUAUUCGAAUUCGUGAUAUAGCUUCUGAGUAUUUUCUUUGUUAUACUGAUAACACGUCUGAAUUUCUCAAUUUACUUAUGGAAAAGGUUGCAUACUUAUCUAGGUCAAAUAAUAGUGAUGAUUUCUAUCUUUUGACUAUUUAUGUUUCUGGAAAAUUAGCUUUGUUUAACAAUCUGCGUAAUCGAUGGCAUGUUAUUUCUGAUAAAGUUGAUUUACCUUAUGAUGAUGUUAUUGCCUUUAAUGGGGAGUUCUAUUCUGUUGAUUAUACUGGAAGAACCGUUUUAGUUGGAGUUGAUGAUGUUGAUACAUUAAAAUUAGUGGCAAAACCUGUUUGCGGAGGCGAUAAGAAACGUUUAGUCGAAAUCGAUGGUGAAUUAAUGUUGGUGGAUGUAUAUUUUGGUCUUCCUCCAUGGGAGAACUUUAGCAAUAGACGUAAAAUGGAAGAUUUAGAUGAAUGUGUUGCUUCGAGGUCGUUUUGGUUUAAGGUUUAUAGGUUGGAGUGGGAAGGAAUGAAUUGGGUCGAGGUUAAGGAUUUGGGAAACUAUGUUUUGUUUCUUGGAAUGUAUUCUUCAUUUUCUGUUCUUGCUGCUGAUAUAUUGAUGGAGAAGGGAAAUUGCAUUUAUUUUGCAUUUACAGAUAAUUUUUACCCAUCACAUUUCAAUGAAGCUAAUGAUGUCUUCAAGUUUCAUUGUGGUGGUGUGUUUAAUUUGGAGGAUUCUAGCAUCACUUAUUCCAAUUCAUUUUGGCCUCCUCCCCAUUGGAUAAAGCCAUGUUUUUAGGAGUUGAAGCUGCAAAUGAGUGGGUGCAGAUUUUCUUCUUGUGGACGCAGUGUAAACUCAGGUAAUGUUAAGAUGUUAUCACAACUUAAAGGAGAAAUUAAGAACUGUCCGUAGGGAAGCAAACAUAGGAGAGAAAUUAUACUCUUGCCCAAAUUGGCCAAUAAGUUGAUAAAGUUCCUUUGUAUUUUAGUUAUUAUUGUAUAACAGUGUUAAUUUUGUUUUUAUUUUUUUUUAAAGAAUGGUGAUUGUGUCCUUUGAGUGAAAAAAACAAUUCAAAUUUUCAGAAAAUUUAGAUGUAAUAUUUUGGAAAAUUGAUAGAGUUAGAGGCACAAUGUAGUCUGUUGGAUGAGAAGAUAAGGCACAACCUAAAGAGUGAAAUCUAAUUUAUAAGCAAAAUUCAAACAAUUAUUAGUCAAACAAUAAAGUAUCAAUUGAGAAUUUAAAGUUAAUAAUCUACUUUUGUUGUGAUGUUUUUCUCGAAAUCUCCUUUGUAAUACCCAAGAAAUAAAAGUCACCUUAAAAUUGUGCUUGAACCUCCACUACGGGAAUGCUAAAGGUUAGAUUAUUUUUGGUUAAAGAAGGUAAUAGCAUGUGUGAAGAAGAAGAAGAUGAUAAAUAAGUCAAACUAACAUCUAUGACUUGGUUGAUAUAGAAAUUUAAUAAUUAUACCGAUGACUAGUAAAAUUACUCUUUUUUUGCAAAAAUAAAAAAGAUUACAUUUUUAUAGAAUAAAUAAAACAUUGACCUUUUAUUUACAGAUGACUAAAAUAUUGCCUUUUUAAAAAUAAUUUUUCCAAUAAUUAACCCCCCUAAUACCCACCUAAUUAACUACAUCCUCCUUUUUAUUAUAGCCCCUCACCUUCUGAUUUAUCUAAACCUAAGUCCUUAUUUGCCGUAUGUUCUUCAUUCCUGUUCUUCACUCCACUUGUGUUCUUCAUCUUCUUCUUGUUGUCUGAGGCUUUGAAUUUUCAUCUUCUUCUUUCUCACUGAGGCUAUGUUCUUCAUCUUCUUCAUUCCUCAUCCUUCAUCUACUCUCUCUAUCUUCUCUUGAUCUCAUAAACCCUAUAUCUACAAAAUAUUAUGUUCAUCUUAUAUAAAAGCCCUAAUUUUUUCCUAGAUCUACUUUCUUUUCUGGCGAUUUUGGUGUAAAAGCCCUAGUUUUUGGGUUUGAAGUAAAAGCCCUAAUUUCUGACGAAUUGCUGCGUUUUGUUACCUUUGCUGAUGAUGGUGUUGAUGAUUUGCUGCGGAUGAAGAUGAGGUAAAUAAGGAUACAAAUACUGUGCAUGUUGAAGAAAAAGGAAAAAAAUGGGGAAAAAGAUGAAGAUGCCUAUGAAGUUGCAGGAGUUUAAAAAUUUGGAGACUACGUAGACUACUCCGGUAGCUUUGUUACGGAUAGAGAA